This 253-nucleotide ribosomal RNA is filed under the name uncultured bacterium. RNAcentral describes it as "partial 16S ribosomal RNA". It matches the Rfam family "Bacterial small subunit ribosomal RNA", at positions 524 to 776 of the family's 1533-position model. The record is from RNAcentral.
UACGGAGGGGGCUAGCGUUGUUCGGAAUUACCGGGCGUAAAGCGCGCGUAGGCGGCUUUGUAAGUUAGAGGUGAAAGCCCGGAGCUUAACUCCGGAACUGCCUUUAAGACUGCAUCGCUAGAAUUGUGGAGAGGUGAGUGGAAUUCCGAGUGUAGAGGUGAAAUUCGUAGAUAUUCGGAAGAACACCAGUGGCGAAGGCGACUCACUGGACACAUAUUGACGCUGAGGUGCGAAAGCGUGGGGAGCAAACAGG